RNAcentral lists this ribosomal RNA (65 nucleotides) under Escherichia coli. Its description in RNAcentral is "partial 16S ribosomal RNA". It matches the Rfam family "Bacterial small subunit ribosomal RNA", at positions 1 to 65 of the family's 1533-position model. The record is from RNAcentral. Lineage: Bacteria; Pseudomonadati; Pseudomonadota; Gammaproteobacteria; Enterobacterales; Enterobacteriaceae.
AAAUUGAAGAGUUUGAUCAUGGCUCAGAUUGAACGCUGCCGGCAGGCCUAACACAUGCAAGUCGA